AUCCUUUUGUAGUUCAUAAGCAGGAUGAAAUGUGCCUCCCUCAAACUUUGUUAUGAUAUCAUCAUAUUAUCCAUCUGUGU
Otolemur garnettii (small-eared galago) is the source of this 80-nucleotide small nucleolar RNA. Lineage: Eukaryota; Metazoa; Chordata; Mammalia; Primates; Galagidae. The record is from Ensembl.